UCGAGAAUCAUUCGCAAUGGGCGAAAGCCUGACGAUGCGACGCCGUGUGGAUGAAGAAGGCCUUCGGGUUGUAAAAUCCUUUCGCCUGGGAACAAGGGAGGCGGUUUAAUAAACCGCCAACUUGAGGGUACCAGGUAAAGAAGCACCGGCUAAUCACGUGCCAGCAGCUGCGGUAAUACGUGAGGUGCAAGCAUUAAUCGGAUUUACUGGGCGUAAAGGGCGCGUAGGCGGAGAUGUAAGUCAGGUGUGAAAUUCUGGGGCUCACCCUCAGAACGGCACUUGAGACUGCAUCCCUAGAGGGUAGAUGGAGAAAGCGGAAUUCCACAUGUAGCGGUGAAAUGCGUAGAUAUGUGGAGGAACACCUGUGGCGAAAGCGGCUUUCUAAUUUAUACCUGACGCU
This 400-nucleotide ribosomal RNA is filed under the name uncultured bacterium. RNAcentral's name for it is "bacterial SSU rRNA". It matches the Rfam family "Bacterial small subunit ribosomal RNA", at positions 355 to 747 of the family's 1533-position model. The record is from RNAcentral.